GCGGAAGGAUCAUUAUCGAAUUCUGAAGGGGAGGGAAGACGGAGGGGAGUGUAGGCUGUCGCUGGUCCUCUCAAGGGGGCAUGUGCACGUCUUCCUUUUCGUCGACCUUUCUCUCUCAUACACACACACCUGUGCACCCGUCGUAGGUCCUCGAAAGAGGAACUAUGUCUUUCACAUCACACCCCGUCGUAUGUCUAUAGAAUGUAUCGAAAACGUCGACCUGUUUUCGGACAGGCUGGCGUUUGAUAAUAAAUCAUACAACUUUCAGCAACGGAUCUCUCGGCUCUCGCAUCGAUGAAGAACGCAGCGAAUUGCGAUAAGUAAUGUGAAUUGCAGAUUUUCAGUGAAUCAUCGAAUCUUUGAACGCACCUUGCGCUCCUUGGUAUUCCGAGGAGCAUGCCUGUUUGAGUGUCAUUGAAUUCUCAACCAUGUCUUGAUCGGCAUGGCUUGGAGUUGGGGGCUUGCUGGCAGCGAAAAGCUGUCGGCUCUCCUGAAAUGCAUUAGCAAAGGACAGCGAGUCUCUGACGUGCACGGCCUUCGACGUGAUAAUGAUCGUCGUGGCUGGAGCGUUGGAACACGCAUGAAUCGUCCCGUGCUUCUAAUCCCCCUAGCCUUUCGGGUCGGCUCGCUUUAGCUACUAGUUGGCCGUGAGGUSGACGAACGUUGGAGUGGGGCUGGACUUGUCUGGCUUGUCUUUCGUGAAACUUGACCUCAAAUCAGGUAGGACUACCCGCUGAACUUAAGCAUAUCAAUAA
This 755-nucleotide ribosomal RNA is filed under the name Butyriboletus sp. 4 KZ-2017. RNAcentral describes it as "eukaryotic LSU rRNA". The record is from RNAcentral. Lineage: Eukaryota; Fungi; Basidiomycota; Agaricomycetes; Boletales; Boletaceae.